GGUUUUCUCCUUGUAGGAAGUUGGGUCUUGCAGCAGAACAUGGCUACUUCUUGAGAUGGUCGCAAGAUCAGGAAUGGGAAACAUGCAGUCAGAACUCUGAUUUUGGUUGGAUGCAUCUUGCUGAGCCAGUAAUGCAGUCCUAUACAGAUUCUACAGAUGGCUCUAGCAUUGAAAAAAAGGAAAGCGCUAUAGUGUGGCAGUACCGUGAUGCAGAUCCUGGCUUUGGGUUUUCUCAAGCAAAGGAGAUGCUUGAUCAUCUAGAG
Molecule: unclassified non-coding RNA, 263 nt
Filed under: Hevea brasiliensis (rubber tree)
Lineage: Eukaryota; Viridiplantae; Streptophyta; Magnoliopsida; Malpighiales; Euphorbiaceae
Source: RNAcentral